Molecule: non-coding RNA, 1012 nt
Organism: Cricetulus griseus (Chinese hamster)
Lineage: Eukaryota; Metazoa; Chordata; Mammalia; Rodentia; Cricetidae
Source: RefSeq, a predicted model, not a curated record
AUUACAGUAUUUCUGCCGAGAGCAGCAUUUCUGUCUUUUGCUCCCUAUCACCAUGACUACAGAACUGUGGGCAUCUGACUGAGCUGGCAGGAGAGUGCUGAUACAAGGCAUGGAGAGCCCUGAGUUGGAGUUCAGGCGACCCAGAUAAGGCAUCAGCAUUGCUUCUGACUAGUCUUUUGACCUUGGGGCCUAAUGUCUGAGUCUUUAGUCCUUUCUACAGCCUUGGUCCCUCGCCACUGUUACAAAUUAAUCACUAUUCCUUCUGUCCCUUUCCAGGUGGUAUAACAUUCUGAAGUGCCUUGGGUUUCCUUGAUGGAGCCAUGAUGAACCAUGUUGCCAUCACAGUGGCCAAAAACCUGUUUAUCAUCUCAGCGAAUAGGAACAAGCUGAACAGACUUCUUGCUUUCAGUAUGGGUGCCCUGGUGAUGAACAGAGUUAAGAAACACAAUCUAGAACUAAGAAUGAAGGGACCUAGAUCAGUGGCAGUCCAACAUAAAAGGGCAUACUGAAGAAAAGAAGCUGGCAUAGGCUAGACAUGGUACUCCACUCACUUGAGAGGUAGAAGAGGAAGACCAGGUGUUCAAGGACAACUUUGUGUAUAUAUUGAAAGGCGAUGGAAGAGCCUGACUAUCAAUCAACUAAGCACCAACCAAACAUGGGUUCAAAUCUUGUGAAUAACCCUUUCAAGCUGAUGGCUUACUGUUCACAUUUCUUGUGUUUUCACAAGGUACAAUUGUUUUAGUUUUAGUUUUCCUUGGACAACGCUAACUGGAUUUAGUGGAUUGUAUAUACAAAGAAGGAAGAGGAGGAGGAGAAAUAAGGAAACAUGAAGUUGAAUGAGGGAUGUGUUGGAGGUUACAGGAGGAGUUGAAAGAGGAAACUGAUAUGCUUACUGACAUAUUUCAUUUUGUAUACAUCUAUGAAGCCAUCAAAGAAUAUGAUGAAGAAACGUUCCAUGUUUUCAGUUUUAUCACUGGUACAUAAUUCAAUAAAUCCUUUAUUCUGAUUUCAA